GACGAACGCUGGCGGCGUGCUUAACACAUGCAAGUCGAACGGAAAGGCCCUGCUUUUGUGGGGUGCUCGAGUGGCGAACGGGUGAGUAACACGUGAGUAACCUGCCCUUGACUUUGGGAUAACUUCAGGAAACUGGGGCUAAUACCGGAUAGGAGCUCCUGCCGCAUGGUGGGGGUUGGAAAGUUUCGGCGGUUGGGGAUGGACUCGCGGCUUAUCAGCCUGUUGGUGGGGUAGUGGCUUACCAAGGCUUUGACGGGUAGCCGGCCUGAGAGGGUGACCGGCCACAUUGGGACUGAGAUACGGCCCAGACUCCUACGGGAGGCAGCAGUGGGGAAUAUUGCACAAUGGGCGGAAGCCUGAUGCAGCAACGCCGCGUGCGGGAUGACGGCCUUCGGGUUGUAAACCGCUUUCGCCUGUGACGAAGCGUGAGUGACGGUAAUGGGUAAAGAAGCACCGGCUAACUACGUG
This 468-nucleotide ribosomal RNA is filed under the name uncultured bacterium. RNAcentral's name for it is "partial 16S ribosomal RNA". It matches the Rfam family "Bacterial small subunit ribosomal RNA", at positions 28 to 507 of the family's 1533-position model. The record is from RNAcentral.